Molecule: ribosomal RNA, 1808 nt
Filed under: Escherichia coli
Lineage: Bacteria; Pseudomonadati; Pseudomonadota; Gammaproteobacteria; Enterobacterales; Enterobacteriaceae
Description: partial 23S ribosomal RNA
Rfam family: Bacterial large subunit ribosomal RNA
Source: RNAcentral
GAGUCGGCCUGCGCGGAAGAUGUAACGGGGCUAAACCAUGCACCGAAGCUGCGGCAGCGACACUAUGUGUUGUUGGGUAGGGGAGCGUUCUGUAAGCCUGUGAAGGUGGCCUGUGAGGGUUGCUGGAGGUAUCAGAAGUGCGAAUGCUGACAUAAGUAACGAUAAAGCGGGUGAAAAGCCCGCUCGCCGGAAGACCAAGGGUUCCUGUCCAACGUUAAUCGGGGCAGGGUGAGUCGACCCCUAAGGCGAGGCCGAAAGGCGUAGUCGAUGGGAAACAGGUUAAUAUUCCUGUACUUGGUGUUACUGCGAAGGGGGGACGGAGAAGGCUAUGUUGGCCGGGCGACGGUUGUCCCGGUUUAAGCGUGUAGGCUGGUUUUCCAGGCAAAUCCGGAAAAUCAAGGCUGAGGCGUGAUGACGAGGCACUACGGUGCUGAAGCGACAAAUGCCCUGCUUCCAGGAAAAGCCUCUAAGCAUCAGGUAACAUCAAAUCGUACCCCAAACCGACACAGGUGGUCAGGUAGAGAAUACCAAGGCGCUUGAGAGAACUCGGGUGAAGGAACUAGGCAAAAUGGUGCCGUAACUUCGGGAGAAGGCACGCUGAUAUGUAGGUGAAGCGACUUGCUCGUGGAGCUGAAAUCAGUCGAAGAUACCAGCUGGCUGCAACUGUUUAUUAAAAACACAGCACUGUGCAAACACGAAAGUGGACGUAUACGGUGUGACGCCUGCCCGGUGCCGGAAGGUUAAUUGAUGGGGUUAGCGGUAACGCGAAGCUCUUGAUCGAAGCCCCGGUAAACGGCGGCCGUAACUAUAACGGUCCUAAGGUAGCGAAAUUCCUUGUCGGGUAAGUUCCGACCUGCACGAAUGGCGUAAUGAUGGCCAGGCUGUCUCCACCCGAGACUCAGUGAAAUUGAACUCGCUGUGAAGAUGCAGUGUACCCGCGGCAAGACGGAAAGACCCCGUGAACCUUUACUAUAGCUUGACACUGAACAUUGAGCCUUGAUGUGUAGGAUAGGUGGGAGGCUUUGAAGUGUGGACGCCAGUCUGCAUGGAGCCGACCUUGAAAUACCACCCUUUAAUGUUUGAUGUUCUAACGUGGGCCCCUUACCGGGGUUGCGGACAGUGUCUGGUGGGUAGUUUGACUGGGGCGGUCUCCUCCUAAAGAGUAACGGAGGAGCACGAAGGUUGGCUAAUCCUGGUCGGACAUCAGGAGGUUAGUGCAAUGGCAUAAGCCAGCUUGACUGCGAGCGUGACGGCGCGAGCAGGUGCGAAAGCAGGUCAUAGUGAUCCGGUGGUUCUGAAUGGAAGGGCCAUCGCUCAACGGAUAAAAGGUACUCCGGGGAUAACAGGCUGAUACCGCCCAAGAGUUCAUAUCGACGGCGGUGUUUGGCACCUCGAUGUCGGCUCAUCACAUCCUGGGGCUGAAGUAGGUCCCAAGGGUAUGGCUGUUCGCCAUUUAAAGUGGUACGCGAGCUGGGUUUAGAACGUCGUGAGACAGUUCGGUCCCUAUCUGCCGUGGGCGCUGGAGAACUGAGGGGGGCUGCUCCUAGUACGAGAGGACCGGAGUGGACGCAUCACUGGUGUUCGGGUUGUCAUGCCAAUGGCACUGCCCGGUAGCUAAAUGCGGAAGAGAUAAGUGCUGAAAGCAUCUAAGCACGAAACUUGCCCCGAGAUGAGUUCUCCCUGACUCCUUGAGAGUCCUGAAGGAACGUUGAAGACGACGACGUUGAUAGGCCGGGUGUGUAAGCGCAGCGAUGCGUUGAGCUAACCGGUACUAAUGAACCGUGAGGCUUAACCUUACAACGCCGAAG